AGUCUUGCUUUAGCUGUCUUCUUGGGAACUCUAGUACUCGUAUAAUAGUCUUUUGACUGUCAAAAGAUGUUUACGCAUGCACAGUGAGUAUACUGUUGCCUGGAUAAUGGAGGCAGGACGUGCAAGGUUUUUUCCUUGUUUUACCACUUGUUCCAUUGAUUUUUAUAUGCGUCAACUCAACGCCUUGCACUCAUGAAUUUGUGCAAAUUUAUAAUUAUGUUUCUGGGUGUGUAUUUCCUUUCUUGAUUCUAGCUAGUUCGUUUCAGAUUCUAGUUUUUCUAUCCAUGUGGCCAACGGUCUAACUAUUUAAAUUUAGAUUCUAUGACUUUUUUUUGCGGCGAAUAUUCUUUGACUUGUUGCUUGUUGAACUUGCAUUGUUCUUGCUCUCUUUACAAACAAUAACUAUUGUGCAGUAGGACAAAGGUUAUCCAUUGAUUUAUCUUAAUUCUUUGUUUCCCUGCAGAAACCUGGGUGCAACUGAAGUUCCUCGCUGAACUCCGAAGAAAUACCAGGUGAAACCACUACUCAAUUACUUUUGUGUUUUUUUUUCUUUUAGUGUUGACUGAUUUUUAAAUGGUUUUCAUUUCCCUGAUAUUAUUCUAAAAGUAUACGAGUUAUUUGUGUUAUUUUUCAUACCUUUUUGGCCGAGGUUGUAGGUCAUGAAUUUGGUCAGCGCAAGAACAGAACUCGCAGGUAAGUUCAGACCGUGGGGAUUCAUUAGGUCUAUGCUUUGUGUGUUGAAGUAUAUGCAUUGACAUCAGUUACAUUUUUGGUUAGAUACUCGGAGAUGAACUUUACUUCAUCAUGAUGAGUUUGGUCACUGACAAAGUGGACUCGUGGAACCAGCUUUCAGUCUCUACAGAACUAGCACAAUCUAUUGUUAGAGUGGUCAAUUAUAUUGGCGUACAUGUCAGUACUUUCUUAAGACCCAAGUCCUGAGCCCCUGUAUUUUGCUCUGAAACAUUCCAUUCAGCAGGUAUGCACAUUUCUUUUGCAGUUUUCGAGUAGUUGUGAUCGUAGAAUCCGAUACUCGUACCUUCUCCAUUAUUUACUGCAGUUGCCUUGAUUGCAUUGAGAUGUGAAUCUGUACGGUUUUGUUAUAGUACUCGUAUUCUCUAGCAGUUCAGCAAUCACUAGGAAUGCUAACCAAUCUGUAUUCCGAAGUAUAUGUAUUGCGAUCGUGCAUUGUUUCUUCAGCUAUUUACUCCCGUGUAUGCUUGAUGUAAUGCCCGAAAUCAGUGGAUAGGUUCACCAGUGUAAAUCUGUAAUAUCGCUGCUCAUUGCACCCUUGCCAGGUUGGACUUUUCAAGUAAUACAAGACCUUGCUGUAGUCAUGGGUGCUGGCCUGCGGCCUGCCUCUUCUUCCGGGCUUCGGGUUGUUAGGUAAGAUCUCUGUGGUAUAUACGAUAAGCUAUGUUGAUUUUUCAUGGGCUUGCUUUUAUUGAUUGCUUAUGACCUUAGCAGUU
Molecule: long non-coding RNA, 1466 nt
Filed under: Brachypodium distachyon (stiff brome)
Lineage: Eukaryota; Viridiplantae; Streptophyta; Magnoliopsida; Poales; Poaceae
Description: long non-coding RNA (BDIS_LNC002601)
Source: RNAcentral